UGCAGCGAGAUGGUUUUUGUGUUUUUUUUUUUCUCUCGGCUGAAAGGCGCCCCCUGGGUCCUAAGCCUCCAAUGCCAGGCUCAUCACUCUACCCUGAGUCAGGAGAGGAACUCAGCCAAGCGAAGAGAGGCAGAAAAGUUCAGGUUGUGCUUAGCAGUGGUUCAGCUUGAGACCUGCACUGUCUGCAUCCCCGGGGCCUUUCAUCUCUUCUGUUUCCAUUUGUCACAGCUUCCCAGAAAGUGGGCUGUGGCAGAAUGCAUCUCGCCUGACUCCAGCCAGCUGCAGGUGUCUGGAAGAGGGUUGAAGAUGGUCAGAUGCUAAGGGCAGAGCCCCUCUUCUUCUCUCCACCCCCAAGCCGCAAGUGCCAGGGUAAGAAAGCUGAGAUUCAGAAGUGUUCUGCACAAGAGAGCCAAUUUUUGGAUGCUGCCACACAGAGAGAGACAACAGCCAGUCAGUCUUGAAGAGCAGCAGCCAACCAACAGAGAGAUGGCCACUUCCCCAUGGCCUCCCGGCCCCUGUCCACAGCCCCGCCUCAGACAGGAGCAGGGGGGAUGUGGCAGAGGACAGACCGCCUUCCGCCACCCUCCACUCAGGCCACCAGGGCCAUGGCCACAUCUAGCUUCCCUGGGAGUGGAGGCCGAGAGCUUUGAAGGAGAGCUUGACCUGGACAUUUUUAAGUACCAGCCUGUGUAAUCCUCACAGCAGCUGUGAGAAUAAGAGCUGUACCUGCCAGAGCACACCCGGUUAGAAAGAGGUGGUGCUGAGAUCUGCAUCCGCUGGCCAUCUCUGGAGAUCACCAUGAGACAGGGUCCCUGGUGACCGCCCGGGGAAGGGGCAGGUGCAGCGCCGUGGAAGGUCAGAGGAGGGCAGAGGCAAAGAAGGCCAUGGAAAUGGACAAGAGGAGCCGCCCCGCCAUUAUGCACCAUGUUCUGCACAGCUUUUCUCGCCACAGCCCGAGGAGCCCGAGGAGACGCCAGGCAAGGGGCCAGGGGCCUCUGCUUGCUGCCCAGGCCUCAAGCCACAGGAGAAAGCAACAUUCACCUUUAAUUGCAUCACAGACCAAACGUUAACCCACUGAAGACCCGCCACCCCGUUAACUGGCUAGAAUGGGGCUGUUCCUGCGGCUCCACUGAACAGAAACAGAUCCUGAGAUCCUGAGACCUUAAGGUAAGCAUCUGAACACUGUCACCAUGUACAACGUCUAUCUAUUGCUUUACUGUACAAUCAGAGCGAGAAACAAAUGCAUUCGAUGCUGUGGAGGUAGAAGACACCGUGGUUGCCACCCCAACCCCAGAUGUCUGCAUCAGGACCAGCUGAGCUCUUCUUAGUCGUUAUCUUUUGAAUAAAUGUUACGCAUUUGAAUAGAACAAUUUAUGCUAACAAAAUACAGUUGACCCUUGAACAGUUUUCCAGGGUUUGAACUGAACGAGUCCACUUAUAUGCGAAUCUUUUUCAACAGUAAAUACUACGGUAGGUGGUACACCAUCUGCAGUUUGCUGAACCCGCAGAUGUGGAACCGCGGACGUGGAAGAAUCACAUACACAGAGGGCCGACACUAAGUUAUAUGUGUAUU
Molecule: non-coding RNA, 1573 nt
Organism: Delphinapterus leucas (beluga whale)
Lineage: Eukaryota; Metazoa; Chordata; Mammalia; Artiodactyla; Monodontidae
Source: RefSeq, a predicted model, not a curated record